This 297-nucleotide long non-coding RNA is filed under the name Gallus gallus (chicken). Lineage: Eukaryota; Metazoa; Chordata; Aves; Galliformes; Phasianidae. The record is from RNAcentral.
UUACUAUGAGUGCGCAAACUGUUUCUAACAGGGAUUUGUUUUGUAAGUUCCAGCAGAGGAGAAGGAACAUGGCUGUAAUCUCUGGGAGGAACCCUGAUCCACCAUCACAGCCUCGGUGCAGCCUGGACAUGGGCUUUUAUUGCAACAUAUUCCCAGGAUUGCUAAGUUUCUCAAGGGAGCUCAACCAAUUGCAACGAUGAAGUUGUCUUGGCCUUAUCCUGUUUUUCCAUCUUGCAGUGAAUGUAACUUCAUAAGGCUGAAUCUAAUUUAUUUGCCACAAUAAAAUUAUCACACACG